RNAcentral lists this ribosomal RNA (465 nucleotides) under uncultured bacterium. RNAcentral's name for it is "bacterial SSU rRNA". It matches the Rfam family "Bacterial small subunit ribosomal RNA", at positions 338 to 795 of the family's 1533-position model. The record is from RNAcentral.
CCUACGGGGUGCACCAGUGGGGAAUAUUGCACAAUGGGCGCAAGCCUGAUGCAGCCAUGCCGCGUGUGUGAAGAAGGGCUUCGGGUCGUAAAGCACUUUCAGCGGGGAGGAAGGCGGUGAGGUUAAUAACCUCACCGAUUGACGUUACCCGCAGAAGACGCACCGGCUAACUCCGUGCCAGCAGCCGCGGUAAUACGGAGGGUGCAAGCGUUAAUCGGAAUUACUGGGCGUAAAGCGCACGCAGGCGUUCUGUCAAGUCGGAUGUGAAAUCCCCGGGCUCAAUCUGGGAACUGCAUUCGAAACUGGCAGGCUAGAGUCUUGUAGAGGGGGGUAGAAUUCCAGGUGUAGCGGUGAAAUGCGUAGAGAUCUGGAGGAAUACCGGUGGCGAAGGCGGCCCCCUGGACAAAGACUGACGCUCAGGUGCGAAAGCGUGGGGAGCAAACAGGAUUAGAUACCCCCGUAGUC